UAGGGAAUCUUCCACAAUGGACGAAAGUCUGAUGGAGCAACGCCGCGUGAGCGAUGAAGGCCUUCGGGUCGUAAAGCUCUCUUGUUAGGGAAGAACAAGUACCGGAGUAACUGCCGGUACCUUGACGGUACCUAACCAGAAAGCCACGGCUAACUACGUGCCAGCAGCCGCGGUAAUACGUAGGUGGCAAGCGUUGUCCGGAAUUAUUGGGCGUAAAGCGCGCGCAGGCGGUCCUUUAAGUCUGAUGUGAAAGCCCACGGCUCAACCGUGGAGGGUCAUUGGAAACUGGGGGACUUGAGUGCAGAAGAGGAAAGCGGAAUUCCACGUGUAGCGGUGAAAUGCGUAGAGAUGUGGAGGAACACCAGUGGCGAAGGCGGCUUUCUGGUCUGUAACUGACGCUGAGGCGCGAAAGCGUGGGGAGCAAACA
Molecule: ribosomal RNA, 427 nt
Filed under: uncultured Bacillus sp.
Lineage: Bacteria; Bacillati; Bacillota; Bacilli; Caryophanales; Bacillaceae
Description: bacterial SSU rRNA
Rfam family: Bacterial small subunit ribosomal RNA
Source: RNAcentral